This 335-nucleotide unclassified non-coding RNA is filed under the name soil metagenome. RNAcentral's name for it is "partial contains 5.8S ribosomal RNA, internal transcribed spacer 2, and large subunit ribosomal RNA". The stretch from base 1 to 120 matches the Rfam family "5.8S ribosomal RNA", at positions 35 to 154 of the family's 154-position model. The record is from RNAcentral.
GAUGAAGAACGUAGCGAAAUGCGAUAAGUAAUGUGAAUUGCAGAAUUCAGUGAAUCAUCGAAUCUUUGAACGCACAUUGCGCCCGCCAGUACUCUGGCGGGCAUGCCUGUUCGAGCGUCAUUUCAACCAUCAAGCCCCCGGCUUGUGUUGGGGACCUGCGGCUGCCGCAGGCCCUGAAAACCAGUGGCGGGCUCGCUAGUCACUCCGAGCGUAGUAAUACAUCUCGCUCAGGGCGUGCUGCGGGUUCCGGCCGUUAAAAAGCCUUAUUUACCCAAGGUUGACCUCGGAUCAGGUAGGAAGACCCGCUGAACUUAAGCAUAUCAAUAAGCGGAGGA